UUAAGUUAAAUCUAACGAAGUAGAAAAAGAAAUUUGCCUAAGAAGAAGCUCGCGUCUGAUUAGCUAGUUGGUAGGGUAAUAGCCUACCAAGGCGAUGAUCAGUAGCUGGUUUGAGAGGGAUGAUCAGCCACACUGGAACUGAGACACGGUCCAGACUCCUACGGGAGGCAGCAGUGAGGAAUUUUCUGCAAUGGGCGAAAGCCUGACAGAGCAACACCGCGUGAGGGAUGACAGCCUUCGGGUUGUAAACCUCUUUCUCAAGAAGGAAGAUCUGACGUUACUUGAGGAAUAAGCAUCGGCUAACCCUGUG
RNAcentral lists this ribosomal RNA (310 nucleotides) under uncultured bacterium. RNAcentral's name for it is "bacterial SSU rRNA". It matches the Rfam family "Bacterial small subunit ribosomal RNA", at positions 183 to 507 of the family's 1533-position model. The record is from RNAcentral.